Molecule: ribosomal RNA, 138 nt
Filed under: Chinchilla lanigera (long-tailed chinchilla)
Lineage: Eukaryota; Metazoa; Chordata; Mammalia; Rodentia; Chinchillidae
Source: RNAcentral
GUCUACAGCCAUACCACCCCAAACACGCCGUCUCGUCUGAUCUUGGCCCAGCUAAGCAGGGUCGGGCCUGGUUAGUAUUUGGAUGGGAGGAAUAGUAUUUUCUGUCUUUCAAAUGGAGAAAUUUAAGUCUCCAGGACU